GGGGGUGUGGCUCAGUGGAAAGAGCACAGGCUGGGGAUUCAGAGGGUCAUGGGUUCUAAUCCCAGCUCCGCCA
This 73-nucleotide transfer RNA is filed under the name Ornithorhynchus anatinus (platypus). It matches the Rfam family "tRNA". From Rfam's summary of the family: Transfer RNA (tRNA) molecules are approximately 80 nucleotides in length. Their secondary structure includes four short double-helical elements and three loops (D, anti-codon, and T loops). Lineage: Eukaryota; Metazoa; Chordata; Mammalia; Monotremata; Ornithorhynchidae. The record is from Rfam by way of RNAcentral.